UCGGAACGUACCCUGGAGUGGGGGAUAACGUAGCGAAAGUUACGCUAAUACCGCAUACGAUCUAAGGAUGAAAGUGGGGGAUCGCAAGACCUCAUGCUCCUGGAGCGGCCGAUAUCUGAUUAGCUAGUUGGUAGGGUAAAAGCCUACCAAGGCAUCUAUCAGUAGCUGGUCUGAGAGGACGACCAGCCACACUGGAACUGAGACACGGUCCAGACUCCUACGGGAGGCAGCAGUGGGGAAUUUUGGACAAUGGGCGCAAGCCUGAUCCAGCAAUGCCGCGUGAGUGAAGAAGGCCUUCGGGUUGUAAAGCUCUUUGUCAGGGAAGAAACGGUGAGAGCUAAUAUCUCUUGCUAAUGACGGUACCUGAAGAAUAAGCACCGGCUAACUACGUGCCAGCAGCCGCGGUAAUACGUAGGGUGCAAGCGUUAAUCGGAAUUACUGGGCGUAAAGCGUGCGCAGGCGGUUUUGUAAGUUUGUCGUGAAAUCCCCGGGCUCAACCUGGGAAUGGCGAUGAAGACUGCAAGGCUAGAGUUUGGCAGAGGGGGGUAGAAUUCCACGUGUAGCAGUGAAAUGCGUAGAUAUGUGGAGGAACACCGAUGGCGAAGGCAGCCCCCUGGGUCAAAACUGACGCUCAUGCACGAAAGCGUGGGGAGCAAACAGGAUUAGAUACCCUGGUAGUCCACGCCCUAAACGAUGUCUACUAGUUGUCGGGUCUUAAUUGACUUGGUAACGCAGCUAACGCGUGAAGUAGACCGCCUGGGGAGUACGGUCGCAAGAUUAAAACUCAAAGGAAUUGACGGGGACCCGCACAAGCGGUGGAUGAUGUGGAUUAAUUCGAUGCAACGCGAAAAACCUUACCUACCCUUGACAUGGCUGGAAUCCUUGAGAGAUCAGGGAGUGCUCGAAAGAGAACCAGUACACAGGUGCUGCAUGGCUGUCGUCAGCUCGUGUCGUGAGAUGUUGGGUUAAGUCCCGCAACGAGCGCAACCCUUGUCAUUAGUUGCUACGAAAGGGCACUCUAAUGAGACUGCCGGUGACAAACCGGAGGAAGGUGGGGAUGACGUCAAGUCCUCAUGGCCCUUAUGGGUAGGGCUUCACACGUCAUACAAUGGUACAUACAGAGCGCCGCCAACCCGCGAGGGGGAGCUAAUCGCAGAAAGUGUAUCGUAGUCCGGAUUGUAGUCUGCAACUCGACUGCAUGAAGUUGGAAUCGCUAGUAAUCGCGGAUCAGCAUGUCGCGGUGAAUACGUUCCCGGGUCUUGUACACACCGCCCGUCACACCAUG
RNAcentral lists this ribosomal RNA (1285 nucleotides) under Janthinobacterium sp. 4-93. RNAcentral's name for it is "bacterial SSU rRNA". It matches the Rfam family "Bacterial small subunit ribosomal RNA", at positions 118 to 1406 of the family's 1533-position model. Lineage: Bacteria; Pseudomonadati; Pseudomonadota; Betaproteobacteria; Burkholderiales; Oxalobacteraceae. The record is from RNAcentral.